CUUGCGCCACUUUUUGCAGGUGUCCGUCGCAAAGCGCGACGGGUGAAACGGGAAAUCGGUGAGUUCGGCUAUGAGCCGGCAAGUCCGAUGCUGCCCCCGCAACGGUAAGCAGGAUAACGGCAAUCUGAUGCGCCACUGUGCUUCGGCAUGGGAAGGUGAUUGCCCGGGUACCCUUCAUGGGGUCCGCCUGCAAGCCCGGAGACCGGCCCGCAAAAACACCCGACG
Molecule: non-coding RNA, 225 nt
Filed under: Marinobacter similis
Lineage: Bacteria; Pseudomonadati; Pseudomonadota; Gammaproteobacteria; Pseudomonadales; Marinobacteraceae
Source: RNAcentral